RNAcentral lists this long non-coding RNA (2176 nucleotides) under Nicotiana benthamiana. RNAcentral describes it as "long non-coding RNA (NBEN_LNC033337)". The record is from RNAcentral. Lineage: Eukaryota; Viridiplantae; Streptophyta; Magnoliopsida; Solanales; Solanaceae.
GGGUGACUCUUGAUGAUGCUAUCAAAGUCUUGUUUUCCUCAUUGUUUGGAUCAAUCUUCCAAAUACAAACUUCCCAAACAUGAAUAGUUUUGCCAAUGUUGACUGGUGUAGCCUCAGCAAAAACAAGGUCACCAAUUUGAGCACUCUUGAGAUGGUGGAUGCUGAGGUGAAUUCCAGCCACACGAGAAAAACCAGAAGCCAUGUGAGCUCCCAUACUUGCCAAAGCCUCAGAUAUCAUAGCUGAAACUCCACCGUGCAACACCUUGAACGGCUGGCAACACUUUUCUGUCACAGGUAGACGGCCAGUGAGUUUAUGGGGUGUGAUUUCUACGAACUCAAAGCUAAUCUCAUAAAGUGGAAUAUCUAAAUCUCGAGCCUUUAGCCCUGAUGGUGGCGGUUCCAUAUUCGCUGUUAUCUUGAAAUGAGGUCUUGUUCUUGGAGGUUGACCUCGGGCCAAAAGGUUUGACUCACGUUUCUAGCUUUAGCAGAAACACCAGUCCAAAUUGGAACGAACCUUUUUGUCACACUAUGAUUCCUUCAAACUUAUGCAGCAAGAGACAUCCAUGGCUCAACAAGGUCAAUUUUUGAUAAAUAGAAAAGGGAGUUCCUUUUAUGGAUUCUGAUAUGCCGAAAUGGUAAAUCUGAUCUGUUUAUUGAAAUCAAGAAUCUUGAUGAAAGUGGCAGAGAAGAAAUAGAUUGAAGAUGAAGCUGAUGAUUGGAGUUUGGACUUUGGAAUACCUGUGAGGAAGAAGAAAGGAUAAAGGGUAAAGUGCGUGGUAGGUGGAAAACAUUACCUUGGUUGGUACUAUAUUAAUGUAAGGGUAAACUUAAUGGCCGGCACUUAAUUGGCUUGUGGUUUGUUACUUCCAAUCUUCACACUACGGAAAAAUACAUAUAUUUCAUAUUUGGACCCCAGAAAUCUUAUUGAAUUUGGAAUUAGAUGCGAUAUAUUAGUAUCUCAAUAAAUACAGUAAAAGCAACAGAGUGAAACAAACUAUUUACGGUAUCCAUUAAUUAAUGAUGGAGCAUCAAACUCCAAAUUCGAUUUAACCCAUCUCGUCUUUCUUCACAAUUAGAUUGCAACAAGGAAAGAAUUACAAUUUGAAUUUUUUUAUCACGAGUUCGGACUUAUUGUUUUUUUAAUCACAGCAAGCCUAGUUAUAGUUAUCUACAGUUUUGCUUCCAAUUAAAAUAUGUUGCAAACAAACUCAAUUAAACCUGAUCAUAACUUAGCAUAUUUCUUGAGAUUGACAGCAGCAUCUUUAGCAUUUUCAGGUACAGACAUGUUGGCCUUCAGGGUGACUCUUGAUGAUGCUAUCAAAGUCUUGUUUUCUUCAUUGUUUGGAUCAAUCUUCCAAAGACAAACUUCCCAAACAUGAAUAGUUUUGCCAAUGUUGACUGGUGUAGCCUCAGCAAAAACAAGGUCACCAAUUUGACCACUCUUGAGAUGGUGUAUGCUGAGAUGAAUUCCAGCCACUGCGGCCUCAGCAAAAACAACGUCACCAAUAUGAGCACUCUUGAGAUGGUGAAUACUGAGAUGAACUCCAGCAACUCGUCCAAAACCGGAUGCCAUAUGUGCUCCCAUACUUGCCAAAGACUCAGCUAUUAGUGCUGAAACUCCACCGUGCAACACCUUAAAUGGCUGGCAACAUUUUUCUGUCACAGGUAAACGGCCAGUGAUUUUGUGGGGUGUGAUUUCUACAAACUGAAACCCAACCCCAUGAAGUGGAACAUCUAAAAUACGAGCCUUUACCCCUGAUGGUGGUGGGGGUUCCAUAUUCUCAAUUAUCUUUUCUCUCUUCAAUUUUUGAAAUGAAUUCUUGGUUUUGGAGGUUGACCUCGGACAGUAAGGUUGGGCGCACGUACCUGGCUUUGGCAAAAACACGAUGGGAGGACCUGUCCAAAUUGGAUUGAACUUUUUUCUCAAACUAUGGUUCCUUAAAAGUUAUGGCAGUAAGAUAUCCAUCUCUCAACGAGAUCAAUUUUUGAUAAAUCGAAAAGGGAGUUCCUUUCUUGGAUUCAUAUGUUCUGAAAUGAUAAAGCUGAUCUUUUUGGUGGAAAUCAAGAAUCGUAAUGAAAGUUGCAGAGAAAAGAUGAAGAUGAUGAUUGGGGUUUGGUUUGGUGUGUGAAUAGAAAAGAAUAAAAAGGUCGUGGUAGGUGGAAAACGUUUUAAAUA